UUUUUUUGGCCCCCAACUCAUUACUCGGGGACUAUUUGGAAAGUAAUGCAAGAGUUGCUGCUGCUUAUGUCAUCUGUUGUCCUGCUGCUUCCAUUAGAAAUCGACAGCUCACCUAUCUACUCUUAUCAAUCGAGUGGCUCGAGGAGUCCUAUGAGGCUAUGACCACUUCCUUUCUUUUUUCUUCUCUGAUCAGAACUGCUCCUCUUCCAUUCUCCACCGAUAAUUCUCUCAAAACUCUUAUCGUUAGAACCAAGAAGAGGUGAAUAAAGUAAAAUGAUGAAGAGAAAGCUCAAUUAUGCACUUCCAUAGAUGCUAUCAUGAGUUGAGAGUUACAACGAAAUGUAAAGGAGAUUCUAUUAUAUUGGUUGUGUUGUUUCUUCUAAGGUUAAUUGAAGUGGAUCGUGAUGAAGCUUGAAGCAUUGGUGAUGGUAAUUCUGCUAGAAGCUUUAAGAUUUAUUUACGCCACUCAAAAUGGGUUCGAAUUGAACAGCAAGAGGUAACAUGUUUAGAUUUGAUUGUUUAAUCUAAGAUAUAUAAUUUUGUCAACAUGCACAGUGAAAGCAGAUUUUUCCUUUCUUUCAAAUUUUUUUGAUCUUUCAUAAAUAGCUAAAUGUGAAAAAUCUUCUUCAUGUAGUUCAUUUUUUCUUUUCUUUCACAUUUUCUGAAUUCGUUGUCUCACUAUUUGCCAGUCAAUUUCUUGAUAUUCAAGGCAUACAUGGCAUAGAAGAUUAUUAACCAUGUGGCUGAAAUUGUUGGAGACAAAUAAAAUGCCUAAAUGGCAAUGUGUUUGGAUAGAGUAUGCAAUCAUAGUGGUUUGUUUUAAUAAGUUCUCAUUUGAUGGGAUUAUCAUGGAUGUAGGAUAAUGCUUGACUGCCAUCAGCAAAUUCUGAUAAUAAUUUUGCUUUGAUGAAAAUCUAAAUUCUUUUCCCUUUCCCUUUUUUUCUGGUUUUGUCAGCUGUUUUUUUUAAUGAAUUUUAACUGUUCCUUUUUCCCUUGGGAUUUUUUUUUUCUGGUUCUCCGUAAUUGCUUUCUACAUUUAUUUCAUAUAUGUUUUAACUUUUCAAUUCCCCAGACUAGAAACUUGCACAAUGUUCUCUGGAAGUUCUUUUUCUUCUUGUAUCUGACUUGAUCAGAACUAAGGAUUACAGGCGAAGUUUAGUCUCUUAGUUUCAUUGGAGUAUUGUUGAUUGCAUGUUGAUAUUGGAGUAUUUUGUGGCGAAAACCUUCUGGCAGAAGAAGUUAUUUGAGAAUUUGAGGUGUCCAAAAAGCACUACGAAACAAGAGUAUAGUUAGCUGUUCAAAGUAUAGGUACUAGAGUACUUUUGGAUCAAUGUAACUUUUAUUGUAUAUCUUGUUUUCCUCCAAACAUGAUUGAAAUUUACAUUACUAAUGUACUUUUGGAUCAAUAUAACUUUAGUUCUAUGUCUUA
Coffea arabica (coffee) is the source of this 1429-nucleotide long non-coding RNA. RefSeq lists it as uncharacterized. NCBI's taxonomy places the organism in Eukaryota, Viridiplantae, Streptophyta, Magnoliopsida, Gentianales, Rubiaceae. The record is from RefSeq and is a predicted model, not a curated record.